Molecule: ribosomal RNA, 413 nt
Filed under: uncultured bacterium
Lineage: Bacteria
Description: bacterial SSU rRNA
Rfam family: Bacterial small subunit ribosomal RNA
Source: RNAcentral
AUUGAACGCUGGCGGCAGGCCCAACACAUGCAAGUCGAGCGGGGUUUUCGGACCUAGCGGCGGACGGGUGAGUAAUGCGUAGGAAGCUACUCGAUAGAGGGGGAUACCAGUUGGAAACGACUGUUAAUACCGCAUAAUGUCUACGGACCAAAGUGUGGGACCUUCGGGCCACAUGCUAUCGGAUGCGCCUACGUGGGAUUAGCUAGUUGGUGAGGUAAUGGCUCACCAAGGCGACGAUCUCUAGCUGGUUUGAGAGGAUGAUCAGCCACACUGGAACUGAGACACGGUCCAGACUCCUACGGAGGCAGCAGUGGGGGAAUAUUGGACAAUGGGCGAAAGACCUGAUCCAGCCAUGCCGCGUGUGUGAAGAAGGUCUUCGGAUUGUAAAGCACUUUAAGUUGGGAGGAAGGGUA